RNAcentral lists this ribosomal RNA (2923 nucleotides) under Lactiplantibacillus plantarum. RNAcentral's name for it is "Lactobacillus plantarum 23S ribosomal RNA". It matches the Rfam family "Bacterial large subunit ribosomal RNA". Lineage: Bacteria; Bacillati; Bacillota; Bacilli; Lactobacillales; Lactobacillaceae. The record is from RNAcentral.
AGGUUAAGUUAACAAGGGCGCAUGGUGAAUGCCUUGGCACUAGGAGCCGAUGAAGGACGGGACUAACACCGAUAUGCUUCGGGGAGCUGUACGUAAGCUAUGAUCCGGAGAUUUCCGAAUGGGGCAACCCAGCAGUUUUAAUCAACUGUUACCACUAGAUGAAUUCAUAGUCUAGUUGGGGGUAAACGCUGUGAACUGAAACAUCUCAUUAGCAGCAGGAAUAUAAAGAAAUUUCGAUUCCCUAAGUAGCGGCGAGCGAACGGGGAACAGCCCAAACCAAAGUGCUUGCACUUUGGGGUUGUAGGACUGAACAUUUGAGUUACCAAAGAACUUGAUAGUCGAAGGAUUUGGGAAAAUCCGCCAUAGAUGGUGAUAGCCCAGUAGAUUAAAUCAAAUUCUCUCAGUUCAGGAUCCUGAGUACGGCGGAACACGUGAAAUUCCGUCGGAAUCCGGGAGGACCAUCUCCCAAGGCUAAAUACUACCUAGUGACCGAUAGUGAACCAGUACCGUGAGGGAAAGGUGAAAAGCACCCCGGGAGGGGAGUGAAAUAGUUCCUGAAACCAUGUGCCUACAAUAAGUCAGAGCGCGUUAAUGCGUGAUGGCGUGCCUUUUGUAGAAUGAACCGGCGAGUUAUGAUCCCGUGCAAGGUUAAGACUAAAAAGUCGGAGCCGUAGCGAAAGCGAGUCUGAAAUGGGCGUUUUGAGUACGAGGUUAUAGACCCGAAACCAGGUGACCUAUCCAUGUCCAGGUUGAAGGUGCGGUAAAACGCACUGGAGGACCGAACCCGUGUAAGUUGAAAAUUGCUGGGAUGAGGUGUGGAUAGCGGUGAAAUUCCAAACGAACUUGGAGAUAGCUGGUUCUCUCCGAAAUAGCUUUAGGGCUAGCCUCGGAAUUAGGAUCAUGGAGGUAGAGCACUAUUUGGACUAGGGGCCCGUCUUGGGUUACUGAAUUCAGAUAAACUCCGAAUGCCAUUGAUUCAUAUCCGGGAGUCAGACGAUGAGUGAUAAGAUCCACCGUCGAAAGGGGAACAGCCCAGACCAUCAGUUAAGGUCCCUAAAUGUAUGCUAAGUGGAAAAGGAUGUGGAGUUGCAUAGACAACUAGGAUGUUGGCUCAGAAGCAGCCACCAUUUAAAGAGUGCGUAAUAGCUCACUAGUCGAGUGAUCCUGCGCCGAAAAUGUACCGGGGCUAAGCAUACUACCGAAACCAUGGAUGCGACCAUUAGGUCGCGUGAUAGGAGAGCGUUCUAAGGGCGGUGAAGCAAGAUCGUGAGGACUUGUGGAGCGCUUAGAAGUGAGAAUGCCGGUAUGAGUAGCGAAAGAUAGGUGAGAAUCCUAUCCACCGAAUGACUAAGGUUUCCUGGGGAAGGCUCGUCCUCCCAGGGUUAGUCGGGACCUAAGUCGAGGCCGAGAGGCGUAGACGAUGGAUAACAGGUUGAGAUUCCUGUACUAGUUAAGUGCGUUUGAGCAAUGGAGGGACGCAGGAGGCUAAGAUGUGCAUUCUGUUGGAUUAGAAUGUCCAAGCAGUAAGUCUUGUGAAGAGUCAAAUGCUUUUCACUUUAAGGACAAGCUGUGAUGGGGAGCGAAAUUUAGUAGCGAAGCGUCUGAUGUCACACUGCCGAGAAAAGCUUCUAGUGAGUACUUAACUACCCGUACCGCAAACCGACACAGGUAGUCGAGGAGAGAAUCCUAAGGUGAGCGAGUGAACUCUCGUUAAGGAACUCGGCAAAAUGACCCCGUAACUUCGGGAGAAGGGGUGCUGAUCGCAAGAUCAGCCGCAGUGAAUAGGCCCAGGCGACUGUUUAUCAAAAACACAGGUCUCUGCAAAAUCGUAAGAUGACGUAUAGGGGCUGACGCCUGCCCGGUGCUGGAAGGUUAAAAGGAUGGGUUAGCUUCGGCGAAGCUCAGAAUUGAAGCCCCAGUAAACGGCGGCCGUAACUAUAACGGUCCUAAGGUAGCGAAAUUCCUUGUCGGGUAAGUUCCGACCCGCACGAAAGGCGUAACGAUCUGGGCACUGUCUCAACGAGAGACUCGGUGAAAUUAUAUUGUCCGUGAAGAUGCGGACUACCCGCGACAGGACGGAAAGACCCCAUGGAGCUUUACUGUAGCUUGAUAUUGAGUGUUUGUACAGCUUGUACAGGAUAGGUAGGAGCCAUAGAAACCGGAACGCUAGUUUCGGUGGAGGCGUUGGUGGGAUACUACCCUCGCUGUAUGACCACUCUAACCCGCACCACUAAUCGUGGUGGGAGACAGUGUCAGGUGGGCAGUUUGACUGGGGCGGUCGCCUCCUAAAAAGUAACGGAGGCGCCCAAAGGUUCCCUCAGAAUGGUUGGAAAUCAUUCGCAGAGUGUAAAGGCACAAGGGAGCUUGACUGCGAGACAGACAGGUCGAGCAGGGACGAAAGUCGGGCUUAGUGAUCCGGUGGUACCGUAUGGAAGGGCCAUCGCUCAACGGAUAAAAGCUACCCUGGGGAUAACAGGCUUAUCUCCCCCAAGAGUCCACAUCGACGGGGAGGUUUGGCACCUCGAUGUCGGCUCAUCGCAUCCUGGGGCUGUAGUCGGUCCCAAGGGUUGGGCUGUUCGCCCAUUAAAGCGGUACGCGAGCUGGGUUCAGAACGUCGUGAGACAGUUCGGUCCCUAUCCGUCGCGGGCGUAGGAAAUUUGAGAGGACCUGUCCUUAGUACGAGAGGACCGGGAUGGACAUACCUCUGGUGUACCAGUUGUGCCGCCAGGCGCAUCGCUGGGUAGCUACGUAUGGAUGUGAUAAACGCUGAAAGCAUCUAAGUGUGAAACACACCUCGAGAUGAGAUUUCCCAUUCCUUUAUGGAAGUAAGACCCCUGAAAGAUGAUCAGGUAGAUAGGUUAGAAGUGGCAGUGCGGUGACGCAUGAAGCGGACUAAUACUAAUCGGUCGAGGACUUAACCAAG